AAUUUCGGAUAAUCGCGGCGGAUCAGCCGAGGAAAGUCCAUGCUCGCACAAGCUGAGAUGCUUGUAGUGUUCGUGCUUAGUGAAAUAAUAAGCUAAGGGAGUAUUUAUACUUACGGCAGCUAAACAACCUAAGGCCUAGUGCGAUGGUUUAGUCAGCUCUAAGGUGCCACAGAGACGAGUCUUAUUAGAAAUAAUAAGAAUGGAACGGGUAAACCCCUCGAGCGAGCAACCCAAACAAAGGUAGGGGCACUCUCUCUAACAGGAAUUCAACUUACGAGAGAGACAAAUUUAUUUGUAGAUAGAUGGUUAUCCCAUCACGAUGAUUCCUAUGUCUUCGCGGUGGACAGAACAUGGCUUAUAGAA
This is a non-coding RNA of 363 nucleotides. It matches the Rfam family "Bacterial RNase P class B". From Rfam's summary of the family: Ribonuclease P (RNase P) is a ubiquitous endoribonuclease, found in archaea, bacteria and eukarya as well as chloroplasts and mitochondria. The record is from Rfam.